RNAcentral lists this ribosomal RNA (448 nucleotides) under uncultured bacterium. Its description in RNAcentral is "SSU rRNA". It matches the Rfam family "Bacterial small subunit ribosomal RNA", at positions 26 to 518 of the family's 1533-position model. The record is from RNAcentral.
AGAACGAACGCUGGCGGCAGGCUUAACACAUGCAAGUCGAACGCUUCACCCUCGGGUGGAGAGUGGCAGACGGGUGAGUAACACGUGGGAACGUACCCCUUUGUUCGGAAUAACCCUGGGAAACUAGGGCUAAUACCGGAUACGGCCGUGAGGCGAAAGGUUUACCGCAGAGGGAUCGGCCCGCGUCCGAUUAGCUAGUUGGUGAGGUAACGGCUCACCAAGGCAUCGAUCGGUAGCUGGUCUGAGAGGAUGACCAGCCACAUUGGGACUGAGACACGGCCCAAACUCCUACGGGAGGCAGCAGUGGGGAAUAUUGGACAAUGGGCGCAAGCCUGAUCCAGCCAUGCCGCGUGAGUGAUGAAGGCCUUAGGGUUGUAAAGCUCUUUACCUGGGAAGAUCAUGACGGUACCAGGAGAAUAAGCCCGGCUAACUUCGCGCCAGCAGCCGC